GGGCACUUAGCUCAGGUGGUAGAGCGCCAUCUUCACACGGUGGAAGUCGCAGGUUCAAGUCCUGCAGUGCCCACCA
This 76-nucleotide transfer RNA is filed under the name Acidobacteriota bacterium. RNAcentral describes it as "Acidobacteria bacterium tRNA-Val". It matches the Rfam family "tRNA". From Rfam's summary of the family: Transfer RNA (tRNA) molecules are approximately 80 nucleotides in length. Lineage: Bacteria; Pseudomonadati; Acidobacteriota. The record is from RNAcentral. RNAcentral also lists the same sequence under 1 other name.